AUUCUCUUAGUAUUAAUUAGUACAACUGACUUCCAAUCAGUUAGUUUUGGCACAAUCCGAAAGAGAAUA
Molecule: transfer RNA, 69 nt
Filed under: Choeroniscus minor (lesser long-tailed bat)
Lineage: Eukaryota; Metazoa; Chordata; Mammalia; Chiroptera; Phyllostomidae
Description: tRNA-Gly
Rfam family: tRNA
About the family: Transfer RNA (tRNA) molecules are approximately 80 nucleotides in length.
Source: RNAcentral